GAUGAAGAACGUAGCGAAAUGCGAUACUUGGUGUGAAUUGCAGAAUCCCGUGAACCAUCGAGUCUUUGAACGCAAGUUGCGCCCGAAGCCAUUAGGCCGAGGGCACGCCUGCCUGGGCGUCACACGUCGUUGCCCCCCCCAUCUACUCCUUCGGGAUUGCGGGGGGCGGAUGAUGGCCUCCCGUGCGCCUCGCCGCGCGGUUGGCAUAAAUGCCAAGUCCUCGGCGACGCACGCCACGACAAUCGGUGGUUGCGAAACCUCGGUUGCCCGUCGUGUGCGGUCGUCGCGCAUCGAGGGCUCGAAAAAAUUGCCGGGUUUCAGCUCGGCUUUCAACGCGACCCCAGGUCAGGCGGGGUUACCCGCUGAAUUUAAGCAUAUCAAUAAGCGGAGA
Molecule: unclassified non-coding RNA, 391 nt
Filed under: soil metagenome
Description: partial contains 5.8S ribosomal RNA, internal transcribed spacer 2, and large subunit ribosomal RNA
Rfam family: 5.8S ribosomal RNA (bases 1-122)
Source: RNAcentral